GGGGCAGAGCUUCUCGGAGGUGGCGAUGUGGAGGUGGUGACCACCUAGAAGAGAGCCAGUUCUCUUCCAAAUGUACCACAGGGACACAUUUAUUUAACCCUCAAGGCAGCCCUUGUGAUUCCCCGGUUCCCAGGGAGGAACCCAGGCCCAGAGAAGUGCAAGAGCUUGUCCCAGGCCACACAGCUGCACCAAAACUUCUGCCCCGUGGCCAGCAGUUAAAUGGACCAUAGAGGAGCUGCAGCCUGGCCUCCACAUCAGCUGUUCCUGGCUUCUGUCCUCCCCGCAUUUGCCUCAUGAAGCCAGCACUGUCCUCAGAACUCUGUCCAUACUUAUGAACAUCUCCACGCCUUCAGGAGAUGGAGCUGUGCAUCCAAGCACGUGAGAACCCGUGGCCUCUGGAGUGGGAGUACCUCACACCCAGUGUGAGCAGAGGGGUUUAAACACAGAUGUCUGCAUGCCAUCAAACCUCACUGCCUUCCUGCACAGCGGCUGGCUUGUGUGGCACUGGCUGUCAGCGGGUGGCCAUCCCACCACUGUGAAGGAGACAGACCACGGAUGUUUACACCAUGCAAAUGAGCCCUGGUAUCAACAGGCCUGGGUUUUACAGGAGUGAAUGUUCUGGCAUCGGAUGGCCCGGGUGGAAUCCUGGCUCCACCGCCUCAGGGAUCAUGGCGAAUCCCUCCAGGCUUUCCUGUGUCCUGAAGCUCUCUCACCCAUCAGAGGGGUCAGUUUCAUCUGCCCAGAGCGCUGAGAGGGCCUAACAGAGAGAGGCACCUUUGCUCUGCACAGCUCCUGGGACAGGCCUAAACUCCACCGUGUCAGCUGCCGUUAUUACCAUGUCUUUGGAGUUCACUGGGCUCUUGGCCGUCUGUUUCCUGGGCCCCAAGGUAAGAGUCAGAAUGCAAUCAUCAAAACCAUUGUGAAGGAGCGGAACAAACAAGUCACUGUGCCGUUUUCCCAGGAGGCGCAGAGUAGGCUGAGCGCCAGCUGCAUGAUGGAACCUGGUCUCAGGUGAGCCCGUUCCAUCCCCACAGUGGCCCUGCAGGACCAGCAGUGGACACUGCUCACUGAUGAGGGGCUGGCACUUCACAAGGUGACUGCCACCACGCGAUGGACUCCCACUGCCCCUGCCCACCUCAACCCCACUUGCCACUGCAUUUUCACCUGCUGCAGGUGACCUGGCCCCGGCCCAGGUGAGCUCCCAGGGCUCUAACAGCGCCUCACUGCAGGGCAGCCAGCUCCCCUCCCUCCGUCACUUCUUAAGGAGCAUCAGGCAGCAAAACUCUAUGAAGUCAGGGCCUCAUCUCGACAACGUGGCAAGCGACCCCAGGUGAGCACAGGCGGGGCCCACCUUAGCCGGGUCAGCAGGCCCCUGGGUGCACCUGCGCCAGUGCCCUGGGACACCCGCACCAGAGCCAAGCUUCACUGUCCCCACGUGAACACCACUCUCGGGGCCUGUCCCCCGGGACCCUCCCCCUGAACCCACAGAGGCACAGCGCACUCCCAGGCCCAGACAGUAGGAAUCUCCUAGAAGCUGACAUUCCUGGCUUCCAACUGCUCCCAACACAAGCCCACCCCGUCAUCUUACGGGCACCCAACGCACUGGGUUCAGGGCAUGAAUGACAUGCCUUUGGUAGGGUGUGAACUCUGUGGGGAGGCACACACCUGGGCCGCCUCCUGGGGGUUUGGGCAGCCACUGUGGUACCUCCAAGGUUAGGGUGAAGCUGCCCCCAACCCUGGUGAUGGGAUUACCUCUAGUCCUCAUGCACGAGAAGAUUAACAGGAAUCACCUGAGAACUGCUCCAAGCCUACACAUUCCAGGACCCCUCCAGAGCUCACACCCUGUCCCGCGGACAUGUUGCAGCUGCUUCCGGAUGGCUGGGUUCCUUCAGAAAUCUCUAGGAAGACCUGAAGGGCUCCCAGGUUAGGCUAAUGCCCCUCUGUGUUGAGACAGUGUCCUUUCAGAAAGCAAGGGGGACGUGCAUGCUAUAGGGGCUCCUGCCCCUUGGCAACCAGCUGCGUGACCUCAGACAAGGGAAGCCCUCUCUGAGCCUCACCUGUCACACUGGUGAGCCAGGGUGCUCCUUUCAUCAAUUAAUUUUAAACCAUAUUUUGUGUAACUAUAAGGAAGAGACAGAGAAGGGCUUGGACACAUCACCGCUGCACUUUAGGCCCAGCCCUGCAGGAGAGCUCCCGCUCUGAGCCAGGCUCUGCAAGGGGCUGGCCCACAGGAAGGAAAAAGUCAUGACAUCAUCAAGAGGGUCUCUGCAAACCUCCGCACAUGCGGGGAGCUGCUGCUGAUCCCACCCAGGGGCCGUGCCUUCUACUGAGAUGACCUUCUGCCUGAAGAGGUGUGGCUCUGUACGGCUCGGUGCGGUCCCCAGCAUUUGGUUGCCGCGGGCCCGGAGAGAGCUGCAGAGGGACAGGCCAGGGACCCCUCCAUGGAGGGCAGAACAGGCAGCUGCGUGUGGGCCGCAGGCAGAGGCCACAUGAGAGCUCACUGGGCGGAGCAGGAGCUGACCGGAAGAGCCGCCAAACGGGGCGCCGGCCAGAGGGUUCAGGACUCGCGUCUGUGUGGAGCUGGGCAGUGAGGAAGAGGCCAGGGAGCAGCUGGAAGGGGACAGCCUGGCCUGCCCUGGACUCCAGGAGCUCAGGGUGGGGCGGCCGCUGAAUGGUGGGUACCAAGGGGCCUCGGUGGGCUGGGAGAGCAGCCGGGCACAGCCCAGCAGCAAGACGUCAGGAUCCUCCAUCACUGCGUACCCUGAAGGAAGCCCGGGUCCUUGGGGCCCCAUCUGUUUAAAGUCAUGUUCAAGAAUAAAGUCAAGCUGCUGAUCAAGAAAAAGAAAGGUUUAAGAUACUUGAGUUCUGGAUUUCUGUCUUUCUCCGCCUCCACCCUCCUCCUCCUCCUCAAAAUUCUUAUCUGACAUCUCUGCCACUCCCCAAAAUUCCAAACCCAUAACAGCACCAAAAACUGUUUUCCCUUUUCUGCUCUCAAAACUCUUGGUGGGGUCGUGUGUGGCCGCAGGCCCCACCCCAGCCGCCCAGCCUGUGGGCUCCGGUUUGCCAGCAGGACGGGCUCGUCCAGGAUUUGAGGGCUGUGACAUGGGGGCCUUCACGCAAUGGGGGUCUCUUCUUAAGAAAAAGAAUAAAAAGUAUGGGCACAGAGUGAAGUACAAAUGAGAAAGAAAUAAUUCAGGGUAGAAAAGAAACCACAACAAAUUACAACUAUUCAAAAGCUGACAAACGCAGUAAGUGUAACCAAAAAAGAGAACAAAUGAUGUUCACUAAUUAAGUGCCUGAUGGUGACCAGCAUUUUGAAAUAUUUCCUACAGUAAGAGCAGAAAGAUAAGCGAGUCUUUCUUCCAGCAUGGUUACCGGAGUUUGUUUCUUCC
Molecule: long non-coding RNA, 3392 nt
Organism: Manis pentadactyla (Chinese pangolin)
Lineage: Eukaryota; Metazoa; Chordata; Mammalia; Pholidota; Manidae
Exons: 3
Source: RefSeq, a predicted model, not a curated record